UACGGGGGGUGCUAACGUUAUCCGGAUUUACUGGGCGUAAAGAGCAUGUAGGUGGCCUAUUAAGUCAGCAAUUAAAGACCGACGCCUAACGUCGGGAGUGUUUCUGAUACUGGUAGGCUUGAGGAAAACAGGGGUACGCGGAACUUUCGGUGUAGGAGUGAAAUCCGUAGAUAUCGAAAGGAACACCAAUGGCGAAGGCAGCGUACUGGGUUUUACCUGACACUGAGAUGCGAAAGCGUGGGGAGCAAAC
Molecule: ribosomal RNA, 250 nt
Filed under: uncultured bacterium
Lineage: Bacteria
Description: partial 16S ribosomal RNA
Rfam family: Bacterial small subunit ribosomal RNA
Source: RNAcentral